This is a non-coding RNA of Schizosaccharomyces pombe (fission yeast), 1243 nucleotides long. Lineage: Eukaryota; Fungi; Ascomycota; Schizosaccharomycetes; Schizosaccharomycetales; Schizosaccharomycetaceae. The record is from the annotation of a GenBank genome assembly.
GCCGUCAGGCAAAACAGCCUCCAUUCCAAGAAUGGAACCAUGUAAGCUACCAUAACGUAACAAACGCAAUCCUCCAGCAGCAGUGGCAGCACAUCCGCCAACCUGACAACUGCCUUUGGCGCCAAGGUCUAAUGGAAACAUGUAUCCUUUUUCAGCCAAAAAAUUAUCUGCAUUUUCCAAGAUAACUCCAGAAUCCAAAGUGAUGACUCCAGAGAUUUCAUCGAAGGUAUGAAUUUGGUUCAUUAAGCCUAAGUUGAGAACAAUCUCAUCGAAAACCGGUACGGAGCCACCGACCAAACCAGUAUUACCACCUUGAGGUACUACGGCAAGCUUUUUCUGGUUACAGUAUUUCAAGAUUUCGCUAACUUGCUGAGUUGUUUUGGGCUUCAAUGCAAGUUGAGUUUUACCACGAUAUUUGUUCAUCCAGUCAAUAUUGAACGCAUCCAAAUCGGCUGGGUCAGUUGAUUUGUCUAGUCCAUCAAUUAAAGAUCCAUCUUUGCCAAUAAUUGAUUUGAAAACUUGAACGUCUUGCUCACUCAACUUUGCGUAUUUGGGAUCUCGAUGAAGCGACUUAUAAGAUUCAAAUGUAAACGCUGGCUUGUGAACAAAACGGAGCGCAUUACGCGGAGCAUGCAGAGAAAGCGAAAGCUUGCCAAACGGAAUAACACGGCGGCACUGAAGCGAAUGCAUUUUAGGAAUGGAUCACUUAAAUUGAUGAAUAGCUAAAGCCUAAAGUUCUAAAGAUAGAAGAGAUGAGAAAAUGAAAAUGACCAAAAAAACAAUAGUAUCGUUAUCAACAACAAUGAAUGAAAAUAGAGGGAGACAAGAAUAAACAACCCGACCUAACGAUUUACGAAAAGAGGGAUAUCAAAUGUUGAUGAAUUUUAACUCUUCAAUCACAAGUAAUGUCCAAUUUUUUAACGGCAAAUCCUUUUAUUCUCUAACCAAAACAGAAGUAUUGCUAUAUGAAUUCUUUAUGAAAAGACCCACAAGCAGCCACUUUACAGAUUCCUCACAAACGAGGGUAUGGUUCUGAAUCCGUUUAGUGUUGCUUAUUAUCAUGUAAAUAGAAAAAAGCAAUAAUUUUUUUGUUUACCGUGACACGGCAAUGCGGAUAAGGAAUAUUAAUGGAAAUCGAAAUACAUUAUAGCGACAUCUUUAAACCCCAUAUUUAUAAACAUACUGGCAAUACUUAAAUAGUGCUAGUAAUAAUAUCUUCACAGAAGGUGAAAAUUAUUAAUGA